Molecule: ribosomal RNA, 410 nt
Filed under: uncultured microorganism
Description: bacterial SSU rRNA
Rfam family: Archaeal small subunit ribosomal RNA
Source: RNAcentral
GCGCAGCAGGCGCGAAAACUUCACACUGUGCGAAAGCACGAUGAGGGAAUCCCAAGUGCUUGCACGUAAGUGUAAGCUGUUUCUCUGUUUAAAACGCAGAGAGAGUAAGGGCUGGGUAAGACGGGUGCCAGCCGCCGCGGUAAUACCUGCAGCUCAAGUGGUGACCGUUAUUAUUGGGCUAAAACGUCGUAGCCGGUUUAAUAAAUGCCUGGGUAAAUCGUGUAGCUUAACUAUACGAAUUCCGGUAGACUGUUAAACUCGAGACCGGGAGAAGUUAGAGGUACUCCUGGGGUAGGGGUGAAAUCCUAUAAUCCCGGGAGGACCACCAGUGGCGAAGGCUGUCGGCUAGAACGCGCCCGACGGUGAGGGAUGAAAGCUGGGGGAGCGAACCGGAUUAGAUACCGCGUAGU